RNAcentral lists this ribosomal RNA (253 nucleotides) under uncultured bacterium. RNAcentral describes it as "partial 16S ribosomal RNA". It matches the Rfam family "Bacterial small subunit ribosomal RNA", at positions 524 to 776 of the family's 1533-position model. The record is from RNAcentral.
UACGAAGGGGGCUAGCGUUGUUCGGAAUUACUGGGCGUAAAGCGCGCGCAGGCGGCUAUCCAAGUCAGUGGUGAAAGCCCGGAGCUCAACUCCGGAACUGCCAUUGAAACUGUUUAGCUUGAGGAUGAGAGAGGUGAGUGGAAUUCCCAGUGUAGAGGUGAAAUUCGUAGAUAUUGGGAAGAACACCGGUGGCGAAGGCGGCUCACUGGCUCAUUACUGACGCUCAGGCGCGAUAGCGUGGAGAUCAAACAGG